This is a long non-coding RNA of Mus musculus (house mouse), 2482 nucleotides long. RefSeq annotates it as predicted gene, 35116. The record is from RefSeq and is a predicted model, not a curated record. NCBI's taxonomy places the organism in Eukaryota, Metazoa, Chordata, Mammalia, Rodentia, Muridae. The transcript is spliced from 2 exons.
UUGGAAAUAAACAGAAAGAGAAGGUUGGCAAGGGGGAGAGACUGUGGAUUUCAUUCAGACUCAGAAGUCUGAGAAACUAAGAAGGCUAAGAAGCUCUUACAUAAGUAGCGCUCUGGCCAUCUUCAUGUGCUCUGGAGGAAACUGGCAGGUGCGCUGCGGUAGAACUCACCGAUAAUCGCCUCGUGUUGUGAGUGGUGGAGAGCAGAGGGGAGGGUAGAAAGUGGUACCAAUCACAGCCAUUGGGUUCCCAGAGAUUUCAUCCUAUUUCCCUUCUCUUCAUUUUUCUUUCUCUCUUUCUUUUCUUUCUUUAUUCCCCCUUUCCCUUGGGUGGGCUAUCAUUCUAUUAAAUGCUUCUUUUCAUUUACAUGGCUUGUGAGGAGUACUGCUUGUGUGUGUGUGUGUGUGUGUGUGUGUGUGUGUGUGUGUGUCUGUCUUAGAGAGGGGAGGAGGGGAGAGUAGAAUGAAUAAGGAAGAGAGUUGGAGUUUUCCGGGUUCUCACCAGGAAAUUAGCCCUAAGGCCUUCCUACGCUCCAGCCACAGACGGGACCAAGGACUCUCGCCCAUGUGGGGACUACCCAGCUCCCCCUCUCCCCUGCCCUCUCCUCCCUUCGGCUCCAGAGAUGACUGAUCUCAAGUCUUCCAUGGUGUCCAGCAGUGUCUGGGAUGCCUGGGACUGAGAACCUGUUACCUAGAACUGCCCCUUGUUCACCCCCCUCCCCCACAGAGCUGGGAUUCCGUGGAUUCACACAGCCAGACACUUACCUGGGGCCCCCGUGGAAAGCAUGCGGCAGUUCUUCUGCAUCUGCCCUCCCAGAGCACCGAAACUCUGGCGGGAUGUGGGUCUUCUCCCACUCCCUUUGUUUCCCCACGCCCACUGCCCAACAAGUUGACACAAUGUAGAACCAUCUGGAAGAUGUUCUCCAUGAAGGCUUGUCUAGAUUAAGCUGACUUGUGGGCGUGUCUGGCGGCGGUAUUGUUUUACGUUAAUCGAUAUGGAAGAUACAGCCCAUUGUGGUCAGUGUUAUUCCAUGGCCUCUCUCCCUCUUUCUACCUUCUCUUUCCCCCUGCCUUUCUACAAUAAAGCUCUAAAACCAUAGACCGUCUCUGCUCAUCAAGGCCCCCUGUGCUUGAUCAAGAGUUUGGUUCCUGGGCUCUUUCUCCCCUAAGUUUCUGGGUGUCAGACAUUGUAUCACAACAUCAGAAAUGAAAUGAGAAUAAUUAGAGAUCAAGGAGACAUGAAAUUCUUGUUUGUUUUUGGCUUGCCCAAAACUCUAAUUCACCUUUUGUUGAAGUAGCUCCCAUCUUCGUCCUGCUACUUAUACAUACAAGAGCCUUCAGAGCAACUUCCUUGUGGCAUAACUUACUAUUAUUCUCUUAUCUUCAUGAAAGUUUCUCUUUCUUUUAAUUUUGUAUAUGAGAAACUGGAUUUGAGGAAAGAAAUAUUUAGGAUUUUUCAAGAAUACUUAAAAUGUAAAAACAGAGGUUAUAAUUUCAGUAAGACUUAGGAAAAAAUUCCUAUGAUUUUUUUUUUCAGUCAUUUUCCAAAACACUAAGGUAACAAAAACAUUUGAAUCUGGAUCCUACUAGUUGUAAUUGUAUGAAAAUUUCAUCCAGUUUAUAUCGACACUUGUCUUGGCAUAACUCUUAAAAAUACCUAAAUAAAUAAGUAAAUAAAUAAAUAAAGGAUAUUUAUUAAAAGAGUAAACCAUUUUGUGUAUGCAUGAUACAAUUUAUAUCUGUAUAUUAUGAAAUGAUUUAUCACUAACAUUAUUUUUUGCCGAGUUUUAGGAGCACAAAAUGUUUUGGUAUUGAGUCCCAUUAUUGAGUUUAAAUAAAGGAAGCAAAACUGCACAAUAACUUUCACACACAACUUUAAUUCUGAUUGCUUUUCUAUGUAUAAUGUCCACAAACACACAAAUUAGCUACCAGUUGGAAUUUUAAAUGAGAAGAUGCAUCUUUUGGUGACAUUACUAUUCUGAAAUUACACUUCCUGAGAAACAUUUGCUUCUCUAUCUGCCAGUCAUUUACGCCAAGAAUCUUCCCUGAUGGACAAGUGAACCCCUAAUAUGAUGCGCUUUAUUCAUGGAUAUGAACAAAACCCAAGGAGCUCAAUCCUUCUCUGCUCCCCACUCAAGUGGAUUCUUCUUGUACAGACUCUCUUCUCCAUCAUUCCAUCACUUCCACAAGUACCGCCAUCUUCUUUCUCCAGAUCUCCCCAUGGACAUGAUGCACCUGGGUCCUCAGUAGCUGUGGGGUAGGACUUUAUCCCAAACUAGGUUGUACUGACUCUAUAUUCUGUAUUUUUAUCUAGGAUGCCAUGGUGGAAGGACCAGAAAGCUUAUGAGCCUGACCAUCUCUAUCGGGAGGUUUCCUUGAUGGUGUUCUUCAUUCCUGUUCUUUUUGACCCUGGAGUCUAAGUUUACUCACCAUAUUGUGAACUCCCCACUAUGCAUCCAAUAAGAAUUUUCUGGUUUUUGUUUAA